GAUGAACGCUGGCGGCGUGCCUAACACAUGCAAUUCGAGCGAACAGAUAAAGAACUUUGUACUUUGACGUUAGCGGCGGGCGGGGGGGUAACAUGUCCGUAACCUACCUACAAGCCUGGAUUAACUCCUGGAAACCGGUGCUUAGGCAGGAUCACAGCUGGAACCGCAUGGUUCUACAGUGACGGGCGGCUUUGCUGUGACUGAUAGCUGGACCCGGGCCGUAUUAGCUAGUUGUUGCGGUAACGUCUCACAAAGGCCACGAUCCGUAGCCGACCUGAGAGGGUGAUCGGCCACACUGGAACUGAGACACGGUCCAGACUCCUACGGGAGGCAGCAGUAGGGAAUCGUGCGCAAUGGGCGAAAGCCUGACGGAGCAACGCCGCGUGAAUGAUGAAGGUCUUCGGAUCGUAAAACUCUGUUAGCAGGGAAGAACAAAUGCGUAAGUAACUGUGCGCGUCUUGACGGUACCUAAUCAGAAAGCAACGGCUAACUACGUG
RNAcentral lists this ribosomal RNA (497 nucleotides) under uncultured bacterium. RNAcentral describes it as "partial 16S ribosomal RNA". It matches the Rfam family "Bacterial small subunit ribosomal RNA", at positions 28 to 507 of the family's 1533-position model. The record is from RNAcentral.